RNAcentral lists this long non-coding RNA (1282 nucleotides) under Homo sapiens (human). RNAcentral's name for it is "long non-coding RNA NONHSAT099888.2". Lineage: Eukaryota; Metazoa; Chordata; Mammalia; Primates; Hominidae. The record is from RNAcentral.
GGACCAGGACAGGCUGCUGCGGGCCAGGGGCAAACACGUCAGGCCUGGCCCCCAGUCCGCUGCUGCCCCUCCCUUUCACCUUCCAUCCAGCACUAAGGGAGUCUGGCCACGGCCUAAUAUAGGAGGGCUUGUGGAAGGAGACACCCACCCCCUCUUUCUGCACCUCUCCCCUCUUCCAUGCCACCCCCAGGCCAGGAGCCACCACAGCCCUGUCUGUGACUCUCAGCUCCCGAGGCUGGGCUCUUCCCCAGGGAAGCUGCAUGACCAUGGCCACAUACAGGAGGUAGGAGACAGAGGCCUCCACGGUGGACGAUCGUGGCGUGAAGUCCACGUUGACCACGUUGUCGGUGCUGGGGGAGCGGAUGAAGGCCAGGGACCCGCGGCGCUCUCCCUGUGGUCAGGAAGCAGCCCGGAGACCCUAAAACUCCAUUGGCCUCAUGUCCAGAACUGAAUCAGGUUCAGCUCGUGGAAGACAUUCAGGAUCCGGUCUCGAGACUUCUGGGCCGACCGUCUCAUGAGGACCCUGCUGAGGAACUUCCUGUCGAAGUGGGACCACCUGUAGGGACAGACCUUGGGUGUGAGCCUCAGGUGACAGGCGCCCUAGAGCCCGCCGGACGCGUGGCCCGGCCCCUUCUCUCCUGAAUUUUGUUUGCUAUAGUGACCCUGUAGGCGCGUUUAAAAUGAGGGAAGCAGCCCCUGCCACACGCCCAGGCCGUCCGCCGUUCUCCCGCCUGUCCUGUUGGAUGGAGGCCGUUAGACGCAUAUGAAACUGCAUGCCGCCUCCUCCAGAGGGUGGCUCAGGACACGCCUAACGGAAUUAGAGUAUUCGCUGGUUAUCCAGAUCAGAAGGGACGGUGGCCUGGCCGGACUUAGAGGAAACUCUGGGGCACAAGGAGGUGAUGCCUGUCACUUGGACAUGGGUGCAGCCGCCAGAGCCGCCCUCCAGGGCACAGGGUGGGCCCGGGUGAGCUUGUGUGCUCACACCUGGGCAGGCCCCGCGGCAGCAAUGGCAGCUCUCCUGUACAGGCUGAGUUUCAGCCACACCAAGAAGUCAAAGCUAACCGAGGCUGUGCCUUCCGAGACCCCCGGGAUGGCCCCUGGGAGGCCAAGGAGUCGGGGACUGGGUACCCGGAGCAGAGUCACUGUGGCCACGGAGAACCGCAGCUGAGCUUUAUGAAGCCACGUGGCCACACCUCCCGGUGCCUCCACCCCAAGCAAACACAGAUCGCUCAGAAAAUGGGAACCCAGGGCAAAUUGUAUGUGCUCCUUACUGGGUUUAUUA